RNAcentral lists this ribosomal RNA (395 nucleotides) under uncultured Gammaproteobacteria bacterium. RNAcentral describes it as "bacterial SSU rRNA". It matches the Rfam family "Bacterial small subunit ribosomal RNA", at positions 60 to 455 of the family's 1533-position model. Lineage: Bacteria; Pseudomonadati; Pseudomonadota; Gammaproteobacteria. The record is from RNAcentral.
AGUCGAGCGGAACGAUGGUAGCUUGCUCCCAGCGUCGAGCGGCGGACGGGUGAGUAACGCGUAGGAAUCUACCCAGUAGUGGGGGAUAGCCCGGGGAAACUCGGAUUAAUACCGCAUACGCCCUACGGGGGAAAGGCCGGGAUCUUCGGACCGGUCGCUAUUGGAUGAGCCUGCGUUGGAUUAUCUAGUGGGGAGGGUAAAGGCCUACCAAGGCGACAAUCCAUAGCUGGUCUGAGAGGAUGAUCACCCACUCUGGAACUGAAACACGGUCCACACUCCUAGGGGAGGCAGGAGGGGGAAUUUUUGGAAAAGGGGAGAAGGUCUGAUCCAAUCAUGCCGGGUGUGUGAAAAACGCUCUGGGGUUGAAAAGCUUUUUUCACAAGGAAAGAAAGGCC